Molecule: long non-coding RNA, 603 nt
Organism: Varroa destructor (honeybee mite)
Lineage: Eukaryota; Metazoa; Arthropoda; Arachnida; Mesostigmata; Varroidae
Source: RefSeq, a predicted model, not a curated record
UGUGUUUUUUUUUUAGUCGGCCUGUUCUGAGCGACUGAGAAGACAAGCCCUGGCUGCAGUUCUCCUGCAGCCGUGCGACGUUCUCUGUUCGGUAGCAAUAUUUCCAAAACAACUAACUUAUGAAGAAGACGAGUCGAUAACUCUCUCCUCGUCCGGUUUUCCAUCAAUGUCGUUUAGUCUGAUCUAUUCUGCCUGGAUGGGCCACAGGACGGGUAGGUCCUAUGUCGCAGACAGCCUCGACUUAACGAUGCAGCUACUGUAAUCGCCAUCGCUCGAAACAGCCAAAUUCAUUCGGUAUUGUCAUUGGUCGACCUCCCCUUUGGUCAAGAGAAACAUUUUGAACUGUCAGAUUUAAUCAAUGUGCAUGUUCGUGCACGCAUGUAAUUCGGCGUUAGGAAAAAGGCACUACGACAUUGGGCAUGUGUUCCGCAUACGCAGGUGCGGAACAAUCCAAUCUCAAAGACUACCCACCGAACACCGAGUAGCAAAAGAAAAUCUCGAGCGAUUCGCUAAUGUAUAUUACGAGAGACAUGAUCGUACGGAUCGCUCGCUGGGUCGUUUUACUUAGGCCGUAAGCCAGGGUGGUUGUGAACGAAGCGCGCG